RNAcentral lists this ribosomal RNA (484 nucleotides) under uncultured bacterium. RNAcentral describes it as "partial 16S ribosomal RNA". It matches the Rfam family "Bacterial small subunit ribosomal RNA", at positions 30 to 507 of the family's 1533-position model. The record is from RNAcentral.
AUUGAACGCUGGCGGCAGGCCUAACACAUGCAAGUCGAGCGGAUGAAGGGAGCUUGCUCCUUGAUUCAGCGGCGGACGGGUGAGUAAUGCCUAGGAAUCUGCCUGGUAGUGGGGGAUAACGUCCGGAAACGGGCGCUAAUACCGCAUACGUCCUGAGGGAGAAAGGGUGGGAUCUUCGGACCUCACGCUAUCAGAUGAUCCUAGGUCGGAUUAGCUAGUUGGUGGGGUAAAGGCCUACCAAGGCGACGAUCCGUAGCUGGUCUGAGAGGAUGAUCAGUCACACUGGAACUGAGACACGGUCCAGACUCCUACGGGAGGCAGCAGUGGGGAAUAUUGGACAAAGGGCGAAAGCCUGAUCCAGCCAUGCCGCGUGUGUGAAGAAGGUCUUCGGAUUGUAAAGCACUUUAAGUUGGGAGGAAGGGCAGUAAGUUAAUACCUUGCUGUUUUGACGGUACCAACAGAAUAAGCACCGGCUAACUUCGUG